This 477-nucleotide ribosomal RNA is filed under the name Salmonella enterica subsp. enterica serovar Infantis. RNAcentral describes it as "partial 23S ribosomal RNA". It matches the Rfam family "Bacterial large subunit ribosomal RNA", at positions 715 to 1190 of the family's 2925-position model. The record is from RNAcentral. RNAcentral also lists the same sequence under 4 other names. Lineage: Bacteria; Pseudomonadati; Pseudomonadota; Gammaproteobacteria; Enterobacterales; Enterobacteriaceae.
CCGAAACCCGGUGAUCUAGCCAUGGGCAGGUUGAAGGUUGGGUAACACUAACUGGAGGACCGAACCGACUAAUGUUGAAAAAUUAGCGGAUGACCUGUGGCUGGGGGUGAAAGGCCAAUCAAACCGGGAGAUAGCUGGUUCUCCCCGAAAGCUAUUUAGGUAGCGCCUCGUGAAUUCAUCUCCGGGGGUAGAGCACUGUUUCGGCUAGGGGGCCAUCCCGGCUUACCAACCCGAUGCAAACUGCGAAUACCGGAGAAUGUUAUCACGGGAGACACACGGCGGGUGCUAACGUCCGUCGUGAAGAGGGAAACAACCCAGACCGCCAGCUAAGGUCCCAAAGUCAUGGUUAAGUGGGAAACGAUGUGGGAAGGCCCAGACAGCCAGGAUGUUGGCUUAGAAGCAGCCAUCAUUUAAAGAAAGCGUAAUAGCUCACUGGUCGAGUCGGCCUGCGCGGAAGAUGUAACGGGGCUAAACCAU